Nilaparvata lugens (brown planthopper) is the source of this 1066-nucleotide long non-coding RNA. RefSeq lists it as uncharacterized. The record is from RefSeq and is a predicted model, not a curated record. NCBI's taxonomy places the organism in Eukaryota, Metazoa, Arthropoda, Insecta, Hemiptera, Delphacidae. The transcript has 2 exons.
AUUAAAAUAAUUUUAUUCAUUUAAUAUAAUAUAAAAUUUAUUUCAAAUAAAGAUUAUUUAUGAGAGAAGUUAUUAAGUUACCGUCAAAUGGUCCAACUUGGGACAGUUUUCAAGUUUGACUUGAAAUUCCACCCACUUUGAGUUGAAAAAAUCUUGUUUUUUUUAGUCAAGAUUUUAGGUCUUGCAUUGCACUUUCAAUUCCUAUAAUUAUUAUUAUCACCAAUCUUACCUGGUGCCGAGUAAAAAAUAAAAACAUGGUGUCUCAAGUUACCCGUAGACAUUGGGUAACUUGGGACAGCAAUUUCAUUUGUUUGUAAAACAAUAUUCAAGACUAUGAGUGCUAACUUUGAACUAAGAUUCUUGUUUUGUUGAAGUCUAGACACAAUAGAUGAGCUUUAAAAAUUAUAUUAGAGUAAUUCAUGUUGUUGAUAUGGAGUAAUACUUGAACAAUUGCUAGAAAAAAGGAACAAUGAGGACAAUCUCUUCUUGAAAAUCGAAAUUAUUAUUGAAAUAUCUAUAACUUACUUACAAUUCUUAUAAAAAAUCAAAAUUAUUCAAGCUUACUAUCAAAUAUUUCAAAUUAUUAUAAAAAAUCAAAAUUAUUUAAGCUUACUAAACAAGAGAAAUCAAAACGUUUUAGGUGCCAUCUACAUCUAUGAAAAAUCAAAAUUAUUUAAGCUUACUAAACAAGAGAAAUCAAAACGUUUUAGGUGCGUGCUUUCUACAUCUAUGAAAAAUCAAAAUUAUUUAAGCUUACUAAACAAGAGAAAUCAAAACGUUUUAGGUGCCAUCUACAUCUAUGAAAAAUCAAAAUUAUUUAAGCUUACUAAACAAGAGAAAUCAAAACGUUUUAGGUGCCAUCUACAUCUAUGAAAAAUCAAAAUUAUUUAAGCUUACUAAACAAGAGAAAUCAAAACGUUUUAGGUGCUAUCUACAUCUCAUACGGAAAGGUAUAGCGCCCCCUCGACACAUUGAGGGGUUUCAAAGUUUCAAUAAUUUGAUUUUUAUUCACUGUCAAAAUAUCGUCUAUUUCUGGGAAGAAAUAAAUGUUCAUUGCUUUUGACGA